RNAcentral lists this long non-coding RNA (270 nucleotides) under Gossypium barbadense (sea-island cotton). Its description in RNAcentral is "long non-coding RNA (GBAR_LNC021763)". Lineage: Eukaryota; Viridiplantae; Streptophyta; Magnoliopsida; Malvales; Malvaceae. The record is from RNAcentral.
UGGGUACACCUCUGGUUGUGCUUGGAUGUUAGUUGAGGUGAAACCUGGAGGAUAAACAAGGUCAUCGUGAUCCUCCCCAGCAUCAACUACGGGGUCUUUUCCUUUGUUAUUCCCUCCAGCCAAUAACUGCUUUAAUUGAUUCAUCACAGUGUUCUGGGAUUCUAACAUGUCCUGCUGGAUUUUUUCCAGUCGUUCAUGCAUCUGAUCUUGCAUCUCUCGUUGCAACUGUUCCAAUCUUUCCAACCUUUGAUCCAUUGCUUUUGUUUGGCG